This is a long non-coding RNA of Cynoglossus semilaevis (tongue sole), 1516 nucleotides long. RefSeq lists it as uncharacterized. The record is from RefSeq and is a predicted model, not a curated record. NCBI's taxonomy places the organism in Eukaryota, Metazoa, Chordata, Actinopteri, Pleuronectiformes, Cynoglossidae. The transcript has 5 exons.
AACAAGAGCCAACCUUUGAAAAACAAUAGAUAAUACUUUUUGACUCAGGAAGAUGAGACCCCCUAGUGGAAGGAAAAGGGGAAGUGCAGGGAAAAGGGGAGGAGUUAAGAAGACAGGUGGAGAGAGUUGGGCAAUCAAAAUGGCGGCAAAUACAAGCGGCAGGAACAGGUGGACGAGGGAGCGUGGACACGAGUACGCGGGAAAUGGACAACCUGAGGACAGAUGAGAGGAACCAGAACGGCUGCAGCGACCUCAUCACCUGCAGAUAAUUAGACGGGAGUCGAGCGAGUCGGCACGAGAGGAGGACGAUUUCUCAGAAAUGCUGAUGUCAAAGUUGGGAAUCUGCUGAUGGUCUAAAAACACACAAGAAUGGAGGACUCCAUAGAACACUACCUCAGCAGUCUUGUGCAGAAGUCUUUAAGGUUCAGGAUGAGGAAAACUCUCAGCACACGCAGGAGAAAAAGGCAGCACAGAUUCUGAGAAAGCUGCUUUUCAUAUCAACUCUCUUCCCACUGGAGGGUUUCCUAAACGAAGAGCCGGGAUUCAUUUAAAUGAAGGACCACAGGAACACAUUUAAAAGAACACACAGACUAAUUUACAGACGCUCCCUUUCUGACAAAUGGCUGAUGUAAGCCCCUAAAGUGCCUCUUAAUCUGGCCUCCCAUGUUCUGCAAUCUGUCAUGAUUGACAGCGUGUGUUCACCGGUAACAACACAAACAUUCAAUCUGGCUGUCAAGACCCCUGAAGGCAUUUUUUUUCCACCUGGACGAGGGGGCUGGGCCAGUAAAGCCUGUGAUUACAGGUACAUCACUGGUUAAAGUUCAGCCUGGCAGAAUGCUGCUCUCCGGUGAUUCACACACAUUAGCAUCCCGGACGCUCAGGGUGAUUUGCAUGCAUUGUCAGCCCUUUUAAGACAUCACACUAAGCACUUGAGCGAGUUUGCAGCUAUCGGGUCCAAGGGGCCUCAAACCUGCCUGCUGUCAAAGAUUUGUCCAGUCACGUCCUUAAUCACGGCGUUAGAGGCGAGGAGGUUAGCGUUAAUGUGAGGAGAAUGGCUAACAGAGGUGAUUAAUGAUUUUUAUCUCAUUUGAAGGUUCCAGGCUGAUAAAUUAGAUGCUCCAGAUUCUAAGGCUGUUUUUUUUUUCUUUUUUUCUGAUGAACUGAUUAUUCCGUUCCUGUGGUAUUAGUAUUUAACUCUGGCUAAUGGUAAUGAUGAUGAUGGUGAUGAGACAUAUCUGCGCAUUUUAUUUUUAUUUUGCCUACAAUAAACCACUUCUUAUAUCAAACAGAGAUAAGGAGUCGUGAUCAGCCCAGUAAUUUCUUACAAAAUUAUAACAAAAAGUUGUAUUUGAAUAACUGGUAAACACUCUUGUUACUGCCAAUUGAGCAGUUACUAUUUUAAUCUGAUUAAGUAAAGGUUAGCUGUGGAUUAAUCGUGAUUAAUCACGAUUAAUCAAGAUGAAGUAACAUUACUAAAUGUAACAAAAAUAGAUAAUUCUAUAUUGUUCUAAAAAAA